Cuculus canorus (common cuckoo) is the source of this 537-nucleotide long non-coding RNA. RefSeq lists it as uncharacterized. The transcript has 4 exons. NCBI's taxonomy places the organism in Eukaryota, Metazoa, Chordata, Aves, Cuculiformes, Cuculidae. The record is from RefSeq and is a predicted model, not a curated record.
UGAACUUGGAGGAUUCUCUGCUGACGAAGGAAAGAGAGACAUUGGACCAUUUUCUGCAGGCAAAGGAAGAAAAGGAUCUGAAUUGCCAUCAAUAUUCAGUGGCAUAACUGUUUUUGCUAGAUCAUCCAACUGGGAAGGCAAUCUCAAGAAAAGAAGCAGCCAAGCAGCUGAAACUUGAAGCAGUAGCAGGUCCUGUCAACAUGCAAAUGUAAUGCAACAUCUGACAGCAAUAUAAAAACAGCGGCUGAGUGCUAAAGCAGGCAGGACCUCCCACUACAUAUUUCUGAUAAAUACCGAGGAGCUGAACUUGUUUCAACACCCUCCUUUAAAGUGGAGCUCUAAUCCCUAACCAGGAAAUCUAGGAGUCCUGCAGUAUUGACAGAUCCUUCAUUCAUACUGCUACAUGAACUAUGACAGAGAAAGGAUAUGACUGACAGCAAUUACUGCAGAGUACAUAGGAUUUCCAGCUGAAGACCUUGAUCUAGUAUCAGCCACCAGGAAAACAAGUCUUCAGACACACUACAUGCUUAACACCCC